This 379-nucleotide ribosomal RNA is filed under the name uncultured eukaryote. RNAcentral describes it as "partial 18S ribosomal RNA". It matches the Rfam family "Eukaryotic small subunit ribosomal RNA", at positions 592 to 976 of the family's 1831-position model. The record is from RNAcentral.
CAAUAGCGUAUAUUUAAGUUGUUGCAGUUAAAAAGCUCGUAGUUGGAUUUCGGAUGGGACUUGCCGGUCCGUCGUUUCGAUGUGCACUGGCCAGUCCUAUCUUGUUGUCGGGGACUAGCUCCUGGGCUUCACUGUCCGGGACUAGGAGCUGACGAGGUUACUUUGAGUAAAUUAGAGUGUUCAAAGCAAUCCUACGCUCUGAAUACAUUAGCAUGGAAUAACACGAUAGGACUCUGGCUUAUCUUGUUGGUCUGUGAGACCAGAGUAAUGAUUAAGAGGGACAGUCGGGGGCAUUCGUAUUUCAUUGUCAGAGGUGAAAUUCUUGGAUUUAUGAAAGACGAACUUCUGCGAAAGCAUUUGUCAAGGAUGUUUUCAUUAA